Lolium perenne is the source of this 2703-nucleotide long non-coding RNA. RefSeq lists it as uncharacterized. The record is from RefSeq and is a predicted model, not a curated record. NCBI's taxonomy places the organism in Eukaryota, Viridiplantae, Streptophyta, Magnoliopsida, Poales, Poaceae.
CUCUGGAGCUCCUCCUCUUCACUAACUCUGCCCGCGACGGACGGCUCCAAAGAAAAAGAGGAUGAGGAGUAGUGCCCCACUGCCCCACGCGUAGGUUGCACAAAUACAACUCAAAGUUUAUGCAUCGGGGGUCGGAUACCUCCGCCGUCCGCCACUGCCUCGCACAGGACUCCAGGUAAUUGAAUUGUAUAUUUCCCAUCUCGAGGACGCCCGGCGAGAUGCAGUCCGUCGCCCUCGAAAACCAGCUGCCACAAGGCGGAGCAGAGGCCACAGAGAGCUCGGUAAUGGGGCGUUCAGCAUCCAGGGAGCCAGGCCGGAGGAGACGCCACUGAGGGAGUGGUCUUCGACCUCCAGCAUCCAGGGAGCCUGGCUGGAGCCAAGUCCGUCGGCGGCUCAGUCGCCCUCCCUAAUCUAAAAGUGAGCGGCCUAAUCCGUAGGCGCGUUCUGGAUGGACGCCCACCACUCCGUGCCGCCACUACAUCAAGCAGAGUUCUUGCUGCUACAGAUCUUGGGUCCCCUGCCAUCCGUGCUAUGAAGAAGACCAACCUCACAAUUUUUCUUGAGCAUUGGAACAAUCUGCAUCUUGAAAAGAUAAAGGCACAAAAAGUACUAAAGGGGUGUCCUGCACAACCAGUACGCGGCUGUUGUUAUGUAUAUAACAGAGUUUCUAGAAGAUGUCUGGGCACGGCGCCUUAUAUGAACUUCUCUUCAAAAUUUCUUUGAGAGGCUUCUUAACGAGUGGAUGAGCUGGAUGAUAUGGAGAAGCGGAAGGCAAACGGGGAGUCAAUGUUUGCAAUGCUCAAGUAGUGUCAUGGUAUUUCAGUCCCAUGUUCCAGUUUUGUAGGAAAAAAGCGAGAAUCUUCCAGUUUUCUUUCUGCCAGUCUCUUUGUGAUACUUUUUUUCUUAUAAUUUCAAAUUAAAGUAUUGUGAAAAAAUGGACAAAUAACAAAAAGAAUGGGGUAAAUUAGGAUUUGAAAUUAUUCUUGUGGUGUCAUGUUAACCGUUGGGAGCUGCAAGAAGACAUGAUGAUAUCCUUCUAAGUUGAAGUUGAAUGUUUGCUUCCGAACCACUUAAAUCAAAAUUUAACUGCAAGGAAUUGAUGUAAUUGCGAUAACAAACUCAGAUGAUCAGUUGAGUGCCAAGUUUUAGAUAUGUGUGUGUGGAGUACUGCAGUUCAGCUUUGGGAAGUUAUUUGGCAGAGCAUGAUCAUGGACAGGGAUGUGUGGUUCCGUGGAGAAUCUAAGCUAUCUCCCUAUGGUCGCUUUUAACUGACCUCAAUUCGGUUUAUGUAGGACCUAUUCUAGGAAAGAGGGAUAAAUAACGUAACAAUAGAUUUUAUCUCAUUAAUGUUAUUAUUACAAAAGGAAGAGAUCAGUGAUUUGAUUUGUCCAAUUAAUUUUUGUCUGGUUACUUAGUUCAACUGACUAUGACACAUCAGUUGGAAGGAUAAUUACAAAAAUGUAGCCUUUUCAUACAUAUUUGCAUCUUUCUAAGAUGAAUGCUUGCUUGCUGUAAUAGGAUUUGGGACCAGAUGGAGAAUGUACUUCUUUUUGCACUUGCUUCUCUCAUAUUUUUGCCGUAGAUUUGUGCAUUGCUGGGCAAUUUUAAGAUGCUAAGCGAGUGUUUCUUUCAUUAGGUCUUGUUGUUGUUGCAUGAUUAUGAUUCUCUCAUUUUUUUUGAAACAAUGUCGGUGCCAAGUACUAAGACUACAGAGUUAGAUUUACAUUGUUGUCAUUGUCCAAUAAGUUUCUUUCUGUAUAAUUAAAUACUUACCUUUAAUAAAAGGGAAUAGGUAACAUAAAUUUUUCAACCACUAUUUCUUUCUGAAUAUUAAUUACUUGUCCUUUUUUUUUGCUCCAAGUGACAUUUGAAAUUAUGCACACUGAUAUUUUUUUGACAUGGAGAAGCUAAACCUAAUGUAUAGGGGACACUCUUUUUUGCAUGAUUGUUCUAGCUAACUAAAUUAAAAAAAUCCUAGAGAAGGAAACUGUUACUUGGCCAAUAUACAUUAUUUAGUGCAUUUUUUAAUCAGAGCCUAUUUGUUCCCUUACUAAUGCUUAUCACACUAGAAAUGAAUAUGCUCAUGUUGCAUAGAUUUUGAUUUAGUGACCAUGCACCUAAAGAGAAUGCCGAUUGAGAUUUGGGAACAACCCAAGUACCUCGCUGUUUGUACCCAGCGGCGGCAGUGGUUAAUUGAAGUGGGAAAUGGAUGACAACGGGUGGAGGACACCGUUGUGCCCGGACGGGCGCGUUAUGGAGGUCCUCAUCGUUAGGAUCACAUGGCCAUGCGGACGCGCUGCCGCGAUGAGUCCACAACGAUGGCAACAAGGACGUAGCGCAGGAGCAACAGAGCAGUAAAUGGCAGCGACGGGGCACUGCAGGGAGACGUCGUCCCGUGGUUUGGUGAGUCGUUGGCGUAAAGAAGGGAAGCAUAACGCAGCUGCCGCGGUAGCAGAGAGCCCUAGGCUGGCUUUAGAAUUAGAGGUAGAAGUUCGAAAUAUGCAGACCAAUGAUGAAGGGCAGUGAAUUAUCAGGUUACGUACUAAUUUCGAAAUAGAUUUCUUUUAUGUUCAUGUAGCUAUCUGUAUAACUUGCUGUGAACAUGGAUUUCCCAUGGAUAUUAUUUUUAUUGGAAGAAAUAAACUUGAUGGACUGUAGCAACGCACACUCCUUUAACGGCAAUCGCACAUUUUAUUAUUGCAA